This 71-nucleotide transfer RNA is filed under the name Cordylochernes scorpioides. RNAcentral's name for it is "tRNA-Cys". Lineage: Eukaryota; Metazoa; Arthropoda; Arachnida; Pseudoscorpiones; Chernetidae. The record is from RNAcentral.
UGCAUCGGCCGGGAAUCGAACCCAGGCCGCCCGCGUUGCAGGCGAGCAUUCUACCACUAAGCCACCGAUGC